This 211-nucleotide long non-coding RNA is filed under the name Salvia miltiorrhiza (redroot sage). RNAcentral describes it as "long non-coding RNA (SMIL_LNC002984)". Lineage: Eukaryota; Viridiplantae; Streptophyta; Magnoliopsida; Lamiales; Lamiaceae. The record is from RNAcentral.
AAAUCUAGUAAUAUAUAUAAUAUGAAAAAUAUAAAAAUAAAAUUAUCAAAAAUAUAAAAAAAUAGUUGUUUCAUUAAAAUAAUAUGCUGAAAAAUAUAAAAUGAAAAUUAUAAAAAAAAAAAUAGUUGUUUCAGUAAAAUAAUAUGCUGAAAUUUAAACUAUUAUAACAUAUUCAUUUUAAAUUCAAUUUAUGCAUAUCACAUAUUAGACC